CGUGCCGGGCCAGGUGCCCUUCCCUCCAGGGGUGCGUGGCCUCGUCGCCCGCGGGUCCUGAGGCCCUGGGGCCCGCGUCCAGUGCGCAGGCAGCCUGCUGGGAGCAACGCCUCGCCUCAGAAUUGGGCCGGGGCUGUGUGCUGUCCCCCAGCAUAUUCCACACUGCCGGCACAGACAGACCAGACUUCUGAAAUAUAUGUUGGGGGAACGCUCUGGACAGUCCUAUGGGAUAGACUCGGUCAUCUCGGAGAGACCUAGAACUUGCCGAAGACCAGAGGGUGAGGACGUACAGCAGGAGUUCUCGAACUUUGUUGGGCAUCCAGAUGCUCUGGAGGCCUUGUGAAACCCCAGUGGUCGGCCCCACCCCGGAGUUGCUGAUUCAGUGGGUUUGGAAGGGGCCUGUCUCACAAGUUCCCUGGUGAUACUGAUGCUUCUGGUCUGAGGCUCACACUUUGAGAACCACUGAUGUUGAAGACUCGAAACUCAACCAAGCUGGGUCUGGCUUCAAAGAGCACGUGAGCUACCGAAUCCACUGGGAGAUUCGAGCCUUGCUUCCAAUUGUGUAGGGUCAGCUGGGCUAUAUGAGCACAUCUAGGGAGGGGCUGUCCCCCGGCUGGGCCUAUUAGAACACUGUGCACCUGAGUCAAAUGUUGGGGUGACCCGUGGACAGAAGACCCUGAAGCACUGGGUGGAGACCAUCAGCAAGGACAAUCCUUCCCUCCACCCCGCUCCUCCCCAUUCACCCCACAUACACAGACUCACUUGCUGUGCCCAGGAGUUAAAUUACUGCCUGAUCUUAUCCCCGACUUGUGCUAAACUAUGUCCAAUAAAAUGCUUUUAAAUCCUU
Pteropus alecto (black flying fox) is the source of this 847-nucleotide long non-coding RNA. RefSeq lists it as uncharacterized. Lineage: Eukaryota; Metazoa; Chordata; Mammalia; Chiroptera; Pteropodidae. The record is from RefSeq and is a predicted model, not a curated record. The transcript has 2 exons.